GAGGGUAUAGCUCAGUGGCAGAGUGCAUGGUUAGCAUACAUGAGGUUCCGGGUUCAAUCCCCAGUACCUCUA
Molecule: transfer RNA, 72 nt
Organism: Camelus ferus (Wild Bactrian camel)
Lineage: Eukaryota; Metazoa; Chordata; Mammalia; Artiodactyla; Camelidae
Rfam family: tRNA
About the family: Transfer RNA (tRNA) molecules are approximately 80 nucleotides in length.
Source: Rfam